This is a long non-coding RNA of Pogoniulus pusillus (Red-fronted tinkerbird), 320 nucleotides long. RefSeq lists it as uncharacterized. The transcript has 2 exons. The record is from RefSeq and is a predicted model, not a curated record. Lineage: Eukaryota; Metazoa; Chordata; Aves; Piciformes; Lybiidae.
GAGAUGGGCAGUCCCUGGGCGCUGAGCUCGCUGCCCAGGGCAGCCCCUGAGGAGGAUCCGACGGCGGUGCUCUGGGGGAAGGAGAAUGAUCAGAUGAGUUGAGAGGGACCUUAAAGGUCAUCCAGCUCAGCCCCUCUGCAGUCAGCAGUGACAUCCCCAUCUGGAACAGGUUUCUCAGAGCCCCAGACAAACUGACCUGGAAUGAUUCCAGUGAUGGGACAUCUACGCCCUCUUUGGACAACCUGGACCUGAGUCUCGCCACUCGCACAGAGAAUUUCCUGGGUUUAUCUCAUCUAAAUAUAUUUUUUAGUUUGAAAUCA